This 428-nucleotide ribosomal RNA is filed under the name bacterium. Its description in RNAcentral is "partial 16S ribosomal RNA". It matches the Rfam family "Bacterial small subunit ribosomal RNA", at positions 355 to 776 of the family's 1533-position model. The record is from RNAcentral.
UGGGGAAUCUUCCGCAAUGGGCGCAAGCCUGACGGAGCAACGCCGCGUGAGUGAAGAAGGUCUUCGGAUCGUAAAGCUCUGUUGAUGGGGACGAACGUGCCUAAUGCGAAUAGUAUUAGGUAAUGACGGUACCCAUCGAGGAAGCCACGGCUAACUACGUGCCAGCAGCCGCGGUAAUACGUAGGUGGCGAGCGUUGUCCGGAAUCAUUGGGCGUAAAGGGAGCGCAGGCGGGCAUGUAAGUCUUUCUUAAAAGUGCGGGGCUCAACCCCGGGAUGGGAAAGAAACUAUGGGUUUUAAUUCAAGGAGAGGAAGGCGGAAUUCCCGGUGAAGCGGUGAAAUGCGUAGUAUUGGGGAGGAACACCAGUGGGGAAGGGGGCUUUUGGACUGCAACUGACGCUGAGGCUCGAAAGCCAGGGGAGCGAACGGG